RNAcentral lists this non-coding RNA (72 nucleotides) under Protocruzia adhaerens. Lineage: Eukaryota; Ciliophora; Spirotrichea. The record is from RNAcentral.
UCGACAUUCGAGGAUGUGCUUUCAGUCGUAAGAUUGUGCAUGUGGUAAAUAUUAUGAGCUUUUGUUGUUGAU